AUAUCCUGGUUCAAGCAUGUAGAUAGAUUUCUUAGGUAAAUCCGGGAAGUCAAUAUCAAGAUGUGUUAACGAGUGAACUUUUGUUCAUGAAGUGAUUGAUACCACGCUUCCAAGAAAAGCCACUAAGCUUCAGUUAAAUUGAGACCGUACCGCAAACCAACACAGGUGGGCAGGAUGAGAAUUCUAAGGCGCUUGAGAGAACUCUGGAGAAGGAACUCGGCAAAUUUGUACCGUAACUUCGGGAUAAGGUACGCCCCAGUAGGUUGUAGCAUUUUACAUGCGAAGGCCGAUGGGGUUGCAGUGAAAUGGUGGCUGCGACUGUUUAUUAAAAACACAGCACUGUGCAAACACGAAAGUGGACGUAUACGGUGUGACUCCUGCCCGGUGCCGGAAGGUUAAUUGAUGGGGUGCAAGCUCUUGAUAGAAGCCCCGGUAAACGGCGGCCGUAACUAUAACGGUCCUAAGGUAGCGAAAUUCCUUGUCGGGUAAGUUCCGACCUGCACGAAUGGAGUAACGAUGGCCACACUGUCUCCUCUAGAGACUCAGCGAAGUUGAAAUGGUUGUGAAGAUGCAAUCUACCCGCGGUUAGACGGAAAGACCCCAUGAACCUUUACUAUAGCUUUACAUUGGACUUUGAUAACAUCUGUGUAGGAUAGGUGGGAGACUUUGAAGCAGGAUCGCUAGAUCUUGUGGAGUCACCCUUGAAAUACCACCCUGAUGUUGUUGAGGUUCUAACCCAGGUCCCUUAUCGGGAUCGGGAACCGUGUAUGGUGGGUAGUUUGACUGGGGCGGUCUCCUCCCAAAGAGUAACGGAGGAGUGCGAAGGUAACCUAGGCACGGUCGGAAAUCGUGCUGUUAGUGCAAUGGCAUAAGGUUGCUUGACUGCGAGACGGACAUGUCAAGCAGGUACGAAAGUAGGUCAUAGUGAUCCGGUGGUUCUGUAUGGAAGGGCCAUCGCUCAACGGAUAAAAGGUACUCUGGGGAUAACAGGCUGAUUCCUCCCAAGAGUUCAUAUCGACGGGGGAGUUUGGCACCUCGAUGUCGGCUCAUCACAUCCUGGGGCUGUAGUCGGUCCCAAGGGUAUGGCUGUUCGCCAUUUAAAGUGGUACGUGAGCUGGGUUUAAAACGUCGUGAGACAGUUUGGUCCCUAUCUGCCGUGGGCGUUGGAAGUUUGAAGGGGGCUGUUCCUAGUACGAGAGGACCGGAAUGGACAGAUCUCUGGUGGACCGGUUGUUACGCCAGUAGCAUAGCCGGGUAGCUAAAUCUGGAAGAGAUAAACGCUGAAAGCAUCUAAGCGUGAAACUUGCCCUAAGAUGAGACUUCCCUUGCACUUUAAGUGCACUAAAGAGUCGUUCAAGACCAGGACGUUGAUAGG
This 1375-nucleotide ribosomal RNA is filed under the name marine metagenome. RNAcentral describes it as "bacterial LSU rRNA". It matches the Rfam family "Bacterial large subunit ribosomal RNA", at positions 1502 to 2860 of the family's 2925-position model. The record is from RNAcentral.